AUAUCUUUUUAACAGUUUUUUUUAUAUUAAUAUUAUUACGAAGCAUGCGAAGAAUCAAAUUACACUGCAGUACAUAUUAAACAAUUUUCAAAAAAUAAAACCAAGUAGUGAUAUGAUACCUGCAGUAUUUAUUAUUAUUAUUAACAACGUAUAUUUUGUAAAUCAAACUGAGCUAAUAAAGGAAUACGUCGAAACAUGGUACACGACAUUUGCAGGCACGUUUCAUAAAAUGAAUAACACAGAAGAUUUAC
Non-coding RNA from Nylanderia fulva, 251 nucleotides. NCBI's taxonomy places the organism in Eukaryota, Metazoa, Arthropoda, Insecta, Hymenoptera, Formicidae. The record is from RefSeq and is a predicted model, not a curated record.